This 763-nucleotide ribosomal RNA is filed under the name uncultured Pseudomonas sp. Its description in RNAcentral is "bacterial SSU rRNA". It matches the Rfam family "Bacterial small subunit ribosomal RNA", at positions 64 to 822 of the family's 1533-position model. The record is from RNAcentral. Lineage: Bacteria; Pseudomonadati; Pseudomonadota; Gammaproteobacteria; Pseudomonadales; Pseudomonadaceae.
GAGCGGUAGAGAGAAGCUUGCUUCUCUUGAGAGCGGCGGACGGGUGAGUAAUGCCUAGGAAUCUGCCUGGUAGUGGGGGAUAACGUUCGGAAACGGACGCUAAUACCGCAUACGUCCUACGGGAGAAAGCAGGGGACCUUCGGGCCUUGCGCUAUCAGAUGAGCCUAGGUCGGAUUAGCUAGUUGGUGAGGUAAUGGCUCACCAAGGCGACGAUCCGUAACUGGUCUGAGAGGAUGAUCAGUCACACUGGAACUGAGACACGGUCCAGACUCCUACGGGAGGCAGCAGUGGGGAAUAUUGGACAAUGGGCGAAAGCCUGAUCCAGCCAUGCCGCGUGUGUGAAGAAGGUCUUCGGAUUGUAGAGCACUUUAAGUUGGGAGGAAGGGCAGUUACCUAAUACGUGAUUGUUUUGACGUUACCGACAGAAUAAGCACCGGCUAACUCUGUGCCAGCAGCCGCGGUAAUACAGAGGGUGCAAGCGUUAAUCGGAAUUACUGGGCGUAAAGCGCGCGUAGGUGGUUUGUUAAGUUGGAUGUGAAAGCCCCGGGCUCAACCUGGGAACUGCAUCCAAAACUGGCAAGCUAGAGUACGGUAGAGGGUGGUGGAAUUUCCUGUGUAGCGGUGAAAUGCGUAGAUAUAGGAAGGAACACCAGUGGCGAAGGCGACCACCUGGACUGAUACUGACACUGAGGUGCGAAAGCGUGGGGAGCAAACAGGAUUAGAUACCCUGGUAGUCCACGCCGUAAACGAUGUCAACUAGCCG